Osmerus eperlanus (European smelt) is the source of this 365-nucleotide long non-coding RNA. RefSeq lists it as uncharacterized. The record is from RefSeq and is a predicted model, not a curated record. The transcript is spliced from 3 exons. NCBI's taxonomy places the organism in Eukaryota, Metazoa, Chordata, Actinopteri, Osmeriformes, Osmeridae.
CAAAGCUCUGGAGGAUCUCAUCAAGUCUGCUGAGACCAAAUGUCUUCAACCUGAAGCGUGAGUGUGGUUAAUGUAUGGCACUUUGCAUGAGCCCAAGAAAACAGAACCAGUCAGUGAAUGGCGUCAAGCCAGGGUCAACCAGCUGAGACGGAUUUACCUGCUGCACAGGUCACCGGAUCUACUGACUCUCAAGACUCCUGUACAGAGAGACUGUCUAGGCCCCAGUAAUGACUCUCAAAUCGUGGGCAAACAGGACGAAUGGGAGAAUGAGGUGGACAAGCUGGUGGCCUGGACUCACUCAUUGUCUUUCCAGGAGCUGGAGGGAGAGUGACUGCUUUACAUACCCCACCCCUAAGCUCAGAGAC